GUGGGGAAUAUUGGACAAUGGGCGAAAGCCUGAUCCAGCCAUGCCGCGUGUGUGAAGAAGGUCUUCGGAUUGUAAAGCACUUUAAGUUGGGAGGAAGGGCAGUAAGUUAAUACCUUGCUGUUUUGACGUUACCGACAGAAUAAGCACCGGCUAACUUCGUGCCAGCAGCCGCGGUAAUACGAAGGGUGCAAGCGUUAAUCGGAAUUACUGGGCGUAAAGCGCGCGUAGGUGGUUUUGUAAGUUGGAGGUGAAAUCCCCGGGCUCAACCUGGGAACUGCCUCCAAAACUGCAUGACUAGAGUACGGUAGAGGGUAGUGGAAUUUCCUGUGUAGCGGUGAAAUGCGUAGAUAUAGGAAGGAACACCAGUGGCGAAGGCGACUACCUGGACUGAUACUGACACUGAGGUGCGAAAGCGUGGGGAGCAAACAGGAUUAGAACCCCUGUAGUCC
RNAcentral lists this ribosomal RNA (449 nucleotides) under uncultured bacterium. RNAcentral describes it as "bacterial SSU rRNA". It matches the Rfam family "Bacterial small subunit ribosomal RNA", at positions 354 to 796 of the family's 1533-position model. The record is from RNAcentral.